RNAcentral lists this ribosomal RNA (301 nucleotides) under uncultured bacterium. RNAcentral's name for it is "bacterial SSU rRNA". It matches the Rfam family "Bacterial small subunit ribosomal RNA", at positions 30 to 330 of the family's 1533-position model. The record is from RNAcentral.
AUUGAACGCUGGCGGCAUGCCUUACACAUGCAAGUCGAACGGCAGCACGGACUUCGGUCUGGUGGCGAGUGGCGAACGGGUGAGUAAUGCAUCGGAACGUGCCAUUGAGUGGGGGAUAACGUAGCGAAAGUUGCGCUAAUACCGCAUAUUCUGUGAGCAGGAAAGCAGGGGGACCGCAAGGCCUUGCGCUCUUUGAGCGGCCGAUGUCAGAUUAGCUAGUUGGUGAGGUAAAGGCUUACCAAGGCGACGAUCUGUAGCGGGUCUGAGAGGAUGAUCCGCCACACUGGAACUGAGACACGGU